UAUUAUGUCAUAAUUGCAGGAAUUAUU
This 27-nucleotide non-coding RNA is filed under the name Mus musculus (house mouse). Lineage: Eukaryota; Metazoa; Chordata; Mammalia; Rodentia; Muridae. The record is from RNAcentral.